AUAAUUACCAUUUUAUCUAUAAACUAAACUAUUAUUAACUAUCCAACUCUAUUUGAUAUAUGAAAGAUUUAUGUGUUGGUCUAAAGGGACCAGCAUUUUGCUAUGUAGCAGGAGGUCGGGUUGGGUCGAGUCACGUUUGAAAUUGCGUGAGGUUGGAUUGUGUUGAGUCAUGUUUAAAGUGAUGUGAGAUAGAUUGGAUCGAAUCAUAAUCUAAACCCGUAGGAACGAUAUCUUUACGCUUUAAGCAUUUGGUUUGGAAACAAGGAGGAAUAAGUAUUUGUUUCCUUCGUUGUUCCUAAACGUAAAUUUUCGGUUCCGAGAACAGUAGCUCUCGGGUCCCUAGAAUAAACUGAUAUAACCCGCGGGUAUAAGUUUGAAAUGAUUAUUCCACCUUUUUUUUUGGAACAAGCUUGUUCCCAAGUGGGAACAUGAUUAAUUAAAGUUUAGAUUUAAUUUUAAUUAUGAUAUUAAAUAAUUAAUUAAUCUAAUUAAUAUAUUUAAAUUAUUAUUCAUUGUUUAAAUAAUAAAAUAAUUAAUUAAUUUAUUACUUAUAAUUAAUGAGCUCAUUAAUUAUUAAUAAUUUAAUGUGUUUAUCCAUAAACUAAUAUUUAUAUUAAUCAACUAUUAUUAUUUUUAUUAAUCUAACUAUUUUUUUUUUUACCAGUUAUCUAACUAAAAUACCUUACUAACUAGUUAAAAAGGUAAGUAAUUUUUUAUAUUUGAUAAAUUAGUUUUUAUUAUCUUAUACAAUAUUCAUAGCUAAUAAAUUUAUUAAUUUAUUAAUUAUUUUUUAUUAAUAUUUUGGUAUUAAUUAAUUAAUUAGAUAAAAUAUAUUUAAUUUAAAAUUAUAACUCUUAUUUCUAAUGUUUCAAUCUAAUCAUUCAAAUAUCAUUUACCUCAUUCUCAAGAAUAAUCUAAUUUCUUUUAAACGUAAAAUUAGUCUAAUUUCUACGAAAACUUGUAUUUAUUUCUGAAAUAAACCUUUAUUAUUUAUAUCGAAACCAAAUACAGCCUAAUAAAUGAAGUAAUUGCAUUUUUUUAAUAAUUUAAAUGUUUAAAAUUAAUGAUGGGUGCGGACGAUCUGAUAUUAAGUGAAAAUCUGACUAAUGUUUUAAUUUUAAUUUUGAUGGACAACGAUUAGAUGAG
RNAcentral lists this long non-coding RNA (1146 nucleotides) under Ananas comosus (pineapple). RNAcentral describes it as "long non-coding RNA (ACOM_LNC020840)". The record is from RNAcentral. Lineage: Eukaryota; Viridiplantae; Streptophyta; Magnoliopsida; Poales; Bromeliaceae.